UUAGAUUGGAGUAGGAGGCUGGCUAACAUGUGAGUGGAAUUUAGGAUUGAUCUUCUAUUUAGUAAGUUCGAUCCUCUUCAAAUUUUGUGUACUUAUUGCCAACUUAGUUAUUGAAAGGUAUAUAAAAUCUUAAGCAAGAUUAAUAAUAUAAUUGAUAGAUAUUGAGAUUCUAAAUUAUCCCAAGAUUAGAUUAAUUUGAUUAGGAUUUGAUUUAGGAUUUAGGAAUUGGUUAGCAUUUAGGAUUUUUUUAGGAUAUAUUUAGGAUUUGACUUAGGAUUUAAAUAAGAACUAUUAGGAUUUUAAUUAGGAUUAAAGUAACAU
RNAcentral lists this long non-coding RNA (321 nucleotides) under Physcomitrium patens. RNAcentral describes it as "long non-coding RNA (PPAT_LNC005038)". The record is from RNAcentral. Lineage: Eukaryota; Viridiplantae; Streptophyta; Bryopsida; Funariales; Funariaceae.